UUUUUUUAAAACAUGGUCUUUUGUUUAUAUAAAAGAUCUGGCCUGCCCAAUGAUAUUAAUUUUAAUGGCUGCAGUAUUUUGACUGUACAAAGGUAGCAUAAUCAUUUGUCUUUUAAUUGAAGUCUGGAAUGAAUGGUUGGAUGAAAGGUUUACUUUCUUUAUUUUAAAUUUAAAAGUUAAUUUUUAGAUUAGAAAGUCUAAAUAUUAAUAUAGGACGAGAAGACCCUAUAGAACUUUAUUUAUAAAUUAAUAAAUAUUAUUUUGUUAAUCAUUAAUGUAUAUUAAUUUAUAAAUUUUAUUGGGGUGAUAAAAAAAAUUUUUUAACUUUUUUUAAUUUUAUCAUUUGUAAAUGUUUUUUUGAUCCUUUAUUAAAGAUUAUAAGAAUAAGUUACCUUAGGGAUAACAGCGUUAUUAUUUUAGGGAGCUCAUAUCUAUAAAAUAGUUUGCGACCUCGAUGUUGGAUUAAAAUUAGCUUCAGGAGUAGAAUAUUGAAGGCUAAGUCUGUUCGACUUUUAAAUUUUUACAUGAUCUGAUCA
This 536-nucleotide ribosomal RNA is filed under the name Grandivesica cassisi. RNAcentral describes it as "partial large subunit ribosomal RNA". It matches the Rfam family "Archaeal large subunit ribosomal RNA", at positions 1895 to 2680 of the family's 2987-position model. Lineage: Eukaryota; Metazoa; Arthropoda; Insecta; Hemiptera; Miridae. The record is from RNAcentral.